CGCUGGGGUCCCGGAGGGCGGGGGUGGCGGCGCCGGAGGUCGCCAUGGCUACCGAGCCCGAAGCCGCGGAGCCGGUGGUGCCUUCGCUCGUGGAUCGAUACUUCACUCGCUGGUACAAACCGGAUGUCAAAGGAAAAUUUUGUGAGGACCACUGUAUACUACAGCACUCUAACCGGUAAGCAAAUUGGGAAUUUUAAAUUAUCAAAAAAAUUUUUUUCCUGGUAUUGUAGCCUUGUGGUCUUGGAUUGAACAAAUGUUCACUAAACAAACAUGCAUUAAUUAUCUUCUACUGUGUUGAAAUGGUAUUAUUAUAGGAGUUUGUUUGGCAAGAAUGAGUAUUCCAGUGCCUGGCCACUCUGAACAUAUAAAUUUGAUCACUCAAACAUCCAAAUGGAGGACCACAUCAUCAGCUGCUAUCUGAAGUGGCCAGUCUGUGCCCAACUACUGAACUGUUCAGAGCCCACAGAAAGGGCUACGGUAGAGACAUAUAUGGUAUCUCGUAUACACAGGCAUGCCUUAUUUCUUUGUCUUCUACCCCAGUGCUACCUACC
RNAcentral lists this small RNA (551 nucleotides) under Pan troglodytes (chimpanzee). RNAcentral describes it as "processed transcript". Lineage: Eukaryota; Metazoa; Chordata; Mammalia; Primates; Hominidae. The record is from RNAcentral.